UUGUGGCUAGGGGUGAAAUUCCAAUCGAACCCGGAGAUAGCUGGUUCUCCCCGAAAUAGCUUUAGGGCUAGCGUUAUGGAGAAGAGUUAUACGAAGGUAGAGCACUGAAUGGGUGAGGGCCUCAUCUCGAGGUACUGAUCUCAAUCAAACUCCGAAUGUCGUAUAAUAUACAUAGCAGUAAGACUAUGGGUGAUAAGGUUCAUAGUCAAAAGGGAAACAGCCCAGACCGCCAGUUAAGGUCCCAAAAUUAUGCUAAGUGGGAAAGGAGGUGGAGUCGCAUAGACAACUAGGAGGUUGGCUUAGAAGCAGCCAUCCUUUAAAGAGUGCGUAAUAGCUCACUAGUCGAGUGAUUCUGCGCCGAAAAUGUAUCGGGGCUAAGCAUAAUACCGAAGCUGCGGAAUUAGGAAAGAAAGCCUAAUUGGUAGGGGAGCGUACUAAACACGAAGAAGGUUGACCGGGAGGGCAGCUGGAGAGUUUAGCAGUGAGAAUGCCGGUGUGAGUAGCGAUAAGAUGGGUGAGAAUCCCAUCCGUCGGAAGCCUAAGGGUUCCAGGGGUAAGGCUCGUCCGCCCUGGGUAAGUCGGGACCUAAGGUGAGGCCGAAAGGCGUAGCUGAUGGAUAUCAGGUUGAUAAUCCUGGACCACCAUAGAGCUGAAGGAGUGACGGAGGAGGGAAGUUAGGAUGGACUGGUGGAAUAGUCUAAUGAAGCACAAAGAGGGAUACGUAGGAAAAACCGCGUAUUAGAACCUUGAAGUGUAAACCGCAAGGCCUAAUGGACCACACUUCCAAGAAAAGCUUCUAGGAAUACUUUAUGGUGCCCGUACCGUAAACGGACACACGUAGGCGAGGAGAGAAUCCAAAGACGCGCGAGAUAAUUCUUGUUAAGGAACUCUGCAAAAUGACCCUGUAACUUCGGGAUAAAGGGGACUCUAGAGAUAGAGGCGCAGAAAAUAGGCCCAAGCGACUGUUUAACAAAAACAUAGGUUUCUGCUAAAGCGAAAGCUGAUGUAUAGGAGCUGACGCCUGCCCAGUGCUGGAAGGUUAAGAGGAGAUGUAAGUCGCAAGGCAAAGCAUUGAAUUGAAGCCCCAGUAAACGGCGGCCGUAACUAUAACGGUCCUAAGGUAGCGAAAUUCCUUGUCAGGUAAGUUCUGACCCGCACGAAAGGCGUAACGAUUUGGGCGCUGUCUCAACAAGAAACUCGGUGAAAUCAUAGUACCUGUGAAGAUGCAGGUUACCCGCGAUCAGACGGUAAGACCCCAUGGAGCUUCACUGCAGCUUAAUAUUGAUAUUGGGUGUGUGAUGUACAGGAUAGGUGGGAGACGAGGAAGCGAGUACGCUAGUAUUCGUGGAGUCAACGUUGGGAUACCACCCUUCAUACAUUUAGUAUCUAACUAGUAUCCAUGAGCUGGGUAUAGAACAGUGUUAGGUGGGCAGUUUGACUGGGGCGGUCGCCUCCCAAAAAGUAACGGAGGCGCCCAAAGGUUCCCUCAGAAUGGUUGGAAAUCAUUCAAAGAGUGCAAAGGCAGAAGGGAGCUUGACUGCGAGACGGACAGGUCGAGCAGGAACGAAAGUUGGGCUUAGUGAACCGGCUGUACUGAAUGGAAAGGCAGUCGAUCAACGGACAAAAGCUACCCUGGGGAUAACAGGCUGAUCUCCCCCAAGAGUUCACAUCGACGGGGAGGUUUGGCACCUCGAUGUCGGCUCGUCGCAUCCUGGGGCUGGAGAAGGUCCCAAGGGUUGGGCUGUUCGCCCAUUAAAGUGGCACGCGAGCUGGGUUCAGAACGUCGUGAGACAGUUCGGUCCCUAUCUGUCGUGGGCGUAGGAAAUUUGAAGGGAGUCGUCCCUAGUACGAGAGGACCAGGAUGAACGUACCGCUGGUGAAUCAGUUGGCCUGCCAGGGCCACAGCUGGGUAGCUACGUACGGCCGGGAUAAACGCUGAAAGCAUCUAAGCGUGAAGCCCCCCCUGAGAUGAGAUUUCCCAUUAGAGAUAAGUAAGACCCCUUAGAGAUGAUGAGGUAGAUAGGUCAGAGAUGUAAGCACUGUGAGGUGUUGAGUUGACUGAUACUAAUAGGUCGAGGACUUAACCU
RNAcentral lists this ribosomal RNA (2087 nucleotides) under human metagenome. Its description in RNAcentral is "bacterial LSU rRNA". It matches the Rfam family "Bacterial large subunit ribosomal RNA", at positions 809 to 2925 of the family's 2925-position model. The record is from RNAcentral.